CCCAAACAGCCGACAGAUUCUCGGCAGUCAUCAAGUUCCUGGCGUUCUGCUGACUAAGACCAUGAAGGUGCGCCAGGAUCCGACGAAGCGUCGCUGAUGUCACAGGAUUGAGCGUGGACAGUAACUUCCGAUAUUUUCACAACGAUAAAUCUGUUCUGGACAAAUCUCGUUUGUUACCUGCGGUGAGGCAGAGUCGAUCGUGUAUUUUGGCGGGGAACAAUGGAUCCGAAGAACCCAAGCCGGGAACCACGUACCUGUUACGCCUUCCUGAAAAAAUAUAACAAAAACAUUGUAAUUGUCGCGAGGUAAAAGAAGAGAAGAGAGAGACAGAAUACGUUUGACAUUUUUUAUUUUUGUCAAUGACAAAAAAAAUGUUGGACGAUUACCAUCCAAUGAAUACGAAAUAUCCACAACGUUCGUGAAAUUGUAGAAGAAGAAUUUGCGUGUCAGCAUAUGGGUUUUCACUGAUUUCGCAAACGCGAACAGUUAGCAAGAAAUGAAGGAAAAGAAGAGAGGAACGCAAAAAGUGCAGUGUACAUGUGACGCGCUUGUUCCAACGAAAACCGUGAAUCAUAUUCAACCGACGCAUCAACAGAUCAUCAACAGCUUCUUGAAUUACUUGUCAGAACUGCGGUGUAAACGAUAAGAAUGGCACGUUAUCAUUCAAUAGGUUGAAACUUCCGCGAGAUAAGAAGGAUUUUCAGCGGAGAGCGGUGCUGAAGCAACGGACUGUUGAUCGAGGAUGCCCCGUGCUCUCCGGAAUGCGUCGACGGGUCUGCGUCUCCGUCCGAGCGCUACGAUUUUUUUUACGCACACGAAACAUCGUGCCCACGGACUUACGUCGCGGCGACGUUUAAGAAGAUAAAAACGACGUGCGGCGAUAAGAUAUAAAGAGCGGCCGAGAGCGACGCGUCAUCGUUCGACUCGAUGGCGCAAGUCGUGCCUCUGUACUGAUGCGCCUCCGCUGAGCGGAGUCCGCUGUCCGCUCUCCGCUCUCGUCGCCCACACACGAGUAUCCAUCGCCAUCGCUCCGCUGCUUCUCUUAGUGCGAGGAUAGCGGAAGAGUGGGGGAGGGGGAGGUAACGGGGAGGCCAACGCCACCGACGGCGGCAUCAACUGCAGCGGCUGACGCUGCAACUGCACGUGGAAUGUGUUAUCCAUUGAAAAACUAAUCUCUGUAUAAUACAUAGAACGUAAAAGUCCAUUAAUUAGAAAGUAGAAUUACUCGAUUGGUGGGAUUGAUUAAUAAUUAAUUAUAUAUAUAAACAAUCUUUCAUUCAAACUAAUUGUAAGAUAUGUAUAGUCUCGUUACAAAUGGCGCAAAGUAAUCUAGCUUCUUUCUGAUGAAACUAUAUAGGUUUCUUUUUUAAUCUUUUUUAGGAUUUAUACAAUUAAAAUUUAACUCUGGCUGUGUAUAAUGCCAAUCUAUAUCUCGAGAUCAAUUAUUCCAUCGAAAUAAAUGCAGUUUACGUAUAAUAGUUUAAGUAUAAUAACUAUAAAUAAAAAAUGACUUGAAUUCCAAGAAUGAAAAAGCAAACAAACAUAAUAUUUUUAUUGAAGUUCUUUAAAAUUGAAAUAUUAAUUUAAUAAAAUGGUAGAAAAUGUGGCGGGAAAAUAAUAUCGCUCUAUAAAAGAUAUUUUAAUGAAACCUUUAUUAAGAUUUUUAUCGUGCCAAAGACAAAUAACGACUUUGGCUAUACAAACAGGUAAACGUUUUCCCGCCGAGAGUCUUCCAUGCAGGUGCAAGCUAUAUAUAAUAUAUCACUAUAGGAUCUUAAAGAUUAAUAUUAAAAAGAUACAAUAAAAUCGCACAAACAAAUGUUUCGUGUUACAAAUAUAGGAGAAUAUAAAGAGGAAAUGCGAAUUGUAUAUGUGUAACAAUUAAAAUAAUAUUUCUACUCAUAACGAAAAUACGGGAUGUAUCUAUUUUCUAAAUGGCAGCUUAUUUUGCGCCGCGAUUGUAUAGAUAUCACUGACAUUUUUUUUAUUACAAUGUCUCAUUUUAGUCGAUUUCGUUAAAUUAACUACAUCAGAAAAAGUCGAUAAAAAAAUUUUUUGAAUUUAAUUUUUCUCUCUCGAUAAAUUAUCAUUUUUGGACGAAAUGCCAUCAGUUGCACCUGCACUGUCGAGCGACUUGCGCGGGUAUUUCUACUAUCUUAAAUCACAAUGGUGACGACAAGUUUAACUAUUUAUUCGUUAAUUAGUUCCUUAAGAUUGAUCGUUAUAUAGAAGCAGGUACGCACGCACGCAUGCACGCAUGUGUUAGUAGCCGUAUACGUAAAAACGUGUGAUGAAAUGCAUCCAAUGAUAGCCGAUGAUCUCUUGGUGAAGGUUCAAUAACGCGGAAUGAUUUUGCAACACAGAUUUAAAAACAUAUAUAGUAAUCAGUGGAGUAUAAUCAAUGAUUUUUGGGAGAGCAAUUGUAAGAGACGUUUUUCCUAUUUUUUUCGCGCAUCGAGAUUAUCUUUGUUGGCAUUAAAAUUAUUAAGAAGGGAAAAACAAGAAUAUAUAAUGAGAAGAAAAUUAAAUAUACGAAGGAAAAUAUAGUGACAAAGUGAAAAGAAAGGAAGACUAAAAAAGAGAUGUGAAUUGUUAUAUGUACAAAAGUUAUAUAAAUAUAAAUUGAAUAUACUUUUACAUCUAUAUAUAUAUAUAAUGUUAUCUGAAGAGAUUGGAGGAGAAUAUUUACUGCAAAAUUUAAACAAUAUUUUUGUGCAAAGGUCAAACGAUUCCGUUCGAGAUUAUCGACGUUCAUCGGUUGAGAAUCACACGAGGAAAUUAUAUUCCCGCGAGCGACUCGCUUUUAUUACGAUUCUCCC
Molecule: long non-coding RNA, 2819 nt
Organism: Formica exsecta
Lineage: Eukaryota; Metazoa; Arthropoda; Insecta; Hymenoptera; Formicidae
Exons: 5
Source: RefSeq, a predicted model, not a curated record